This 1401-nucleotide ribosomal RNA is filed under the name uncultured bacterium. RNAcentral describes it as "bacterial SSU rRNA". It matches the Rfam family "Bacterial small subunit ribosomal RNA". The record is from RNAcentral.
UAGAGUUUGAUCCUGGCUCAGGAUGAACGCUGGCGGCGUGCCUAACACAUGCAAGUCGAACGAAGCGCCUUGAAGUUUUCGGACGGAUGGGUGACUGAGUGGCGGACGGGUGAGUAACGCGUGGAUAACCUGCCUCAUACAGGGGGAUAACAGUUAGAAAUGACUGCUAAUACCGCAUAAGCGCACAGUACCGCAUGGUACAGUGUGAAAAACUCCGGUGGUAUGAGAUGGAUCCGCGUCUGAUUAGCUAGUUGGCGGGGUAACGGCCCACCAAGGCGACGAUCAGUAGGGGUUCUGAGAGGAAGGUCCCCCACACCGGAACUGAGACACGGUCCAGACUCCUACGGGAGGCAGCAGUGAGGAAUAUUGGUCAAUGGGCGAGAGCCUGAACCAGCCAAGUAGCGUGCAGGAUGACGGCCCUAUGGGUUGUAAACUGCUUUUAUGCGGGAAUAAGAUCAGAUACGUGUAUCUGCGUGCAUGUACCGCAUGAAUAAGGACCGGCUAAUUCCGUGCCAGCAGCCGCGGUAAUACGGAAGGUCCGGGCGUUAUCCGGAUUUAUUGGGUUUAAAGGGAGCGUAGGCGGCCUUUUAAGCGUGCUGUGAAAUGUACCGGCUCAACCGGUGAAUUGCAGCGCGGACUGGAGGGCUUGAGUUCACGGAAGGCAGGCGGAAUUCGUGGUGUAGCGGUGAAAUGCUUAGAUAUCACGAAGAACUCCGAUUGCGAAGGCAGCUUGCCGCAGUGUUACUGACGCUGAAGCUCGAAGGUGCGGGUAUCGAACAGGAUUAGAUACCCUGGUAGUCCGCACGGUAAACGAUGGAUGCCCGCUGUUCGCCUAUUGUGGUGAGCGGCCAAGCGAAAGCGUUAAGCAUCCCACCUGGGGAGUACGCCGGCAACGGUGAAACUCAAAGGAAUUGACGGGGGCCCGCACAAGCGGAGGAACAUGUGGUUUAAUUCGAUGAUACGCGAGGAACCUUACCCGGGCUUGAACUGCAGGAGAACGAUACAGAGAUGUUGAGGCCCUUCGGGGCUCCUGUGGAGGUGCUGCAUGGUUGUCGUCAGCUCGUGCCGUGAGGUGUCGGCUUAAGUGCCAUAACGAGCGCAACCCUUGUCCUCAGUUGCCAUCACUUCGGGUGGGCACUCUGUGGAUACUGCCACCGCAAGGUGUGAGGAAGGUGGGGAUGACGUCAAAUCAGCACGGCCCUUACGUCCGGGGCUACACACGUGUUACAAUGGCGCAUACAGAGAGUCGGCCGCCGGCAACGUCGGUCCAAUCCUUAAAAUGCGUCCUAGUUCGGAUUGGGGUCUGCAACCCGACCCCAUGAAGCUGGAUUCGCUAGUAAUCGCGCAUCAGCCAUGGCGCGGUGAAUACGUUCCCGGGCCUUGUACACACCGCCCGUCAAG